RNAcentral lists this long non-coding RNA (7504 nucleotides) under Brassica napus (rape). Its description in RNAcentral is "long non-coding RNA (BNAP_LNC003735)". The record is from RNAcentral. Lineage: Eukaryota; Viridiplantae; Streptophyta; Magnoliopsida; Brassicales; Brassicaceae.
UAAUCCCAAAGAGACAACGUUGCUCUGCAGAUAGUGAUCAUAUAUCUCAGACUUAUUAGACUCUAGGAUAGCGAGAGCUGCCUUUCUUCUUCAAGAACUCUGGAAUCUCCACCGAACCACCAUCUCUAAAGGAGGAAGAAGGUCUUCUUGUACCUCCAGUUGAGGCAGUAUCUGCUUGUGCCAUCUGAGCCGCCCUUCCUUCUCCUUCCUCUUGUCGCUUAAAACCCGUUGCUAUGAGAGUUAUGCUCACCUUGUACCAAAAAACAAUCAAUUUCUACCAUCUCCAAAGGCCAUAUAAGUUAGUUAAAGACGAAUCAAAAAGGACAUACUUGACCGGUGAGGGAUGGAUCCACAACAGCUCCGAAUAUAAGAUUAGCAGUUGGAUCAACAAGAUCAUAUAUAACUUCCGCAGCAGCAUUUACCUACAAAGGGCACCAUAGUCUAAUGAGAAACAUGUAGACACCAAAUGAGAUAAAGAAACACAUAUGAGAGAGAGAGAGAGAGAGACCUCGAACAAUGUCAAGUCGGUUCCACCAGUGAUGUUCCAAACGAUCCCAGUGGCUCUCUCAAUGCCGAUAUCAAGCAAUGGUGAUUGGAUUGCGUUCAGUGCAGCAUCUCUUGCCCUACUCUUCCCUGCUUGAUUACCAAUUUACACUAGCACAUAAGACUAUAUAGUGGUUAUGAUAAAACUAUGCAGACCAAAGCUUUACCUGUUGCAGUUCCUAUCCCCAUCAGUGAAGAACCUGCAUUCGCCAUUAUAGCUCUCACAUCAGCAAAAUCCACAUUCACCAAACCAGGAAUCUGACAAAGCAAACACAAACUAUUAAAGCAUUUGCCCCACACACACAUAAAACAAUCACAUUAAAAAAGCCAUUACCGUAAUGAUAUCAGAGAUCCCACGAACUCCCUGACGAAGUAUAUCAUCAGCUAGAUUAAAAGCCUCCGUCACAGGAGUAGACUGAGAGACAGCCGUAAGCAGCUUAUCAUUCGGAAUAACAAUGAGAGUGUCAACAUUGUCUCUCAGCGAAGCAAGCCCUUCUUGAGCCUGCACCGCUCUUUUUCUCCCCUCAAACGAGAACGGCGUCGUGGCAAUACCAACAGUCAGUAUCCCCAUCGCCUUAGCGAUUCCAGCUAUCACAGGAGCUGCUCCAGUACCAGUCCCACCUCCCAUUCCAGCUGUGACAAAGACCAUGUCUGAACCAUAAAGAGCCUCUUCAAUAGCUUCUUUACUCUCCUUAGCAGCGUUCAUACCAAUCUCCGGAUUCCCACCAGCGCCUAAGCCUCUAGUCAGCUCCUUACCAAUCUGCAGCCUGUUCUCAGACAAAACAGGAGACAUCCUCAUAGCUUGAAUGUCAGUGUUCACAAUCCAGAACUCCACUCCCAUCAUCUCGCUCUCUAUCAUACGGUUCACAGCGUUUGAUCCACCUCCUCCCACGCCGAUAACUUUAAUCCUCGCCUCAUUAUAGCCACUAGGAGCAGAGGGCUCGUCAAAGUCCUCGGUGAGAGGAACCACAGAACUAGUUUCUUUCCUGGGGUUGGAGACUGUGUUGGCUCCUCCUCCUUCUAAUCUGAACAAGAGCCUUCUGUGUUUCUUCAUUUCAUAUUAUAAAAAGAAACACCAACUCUCAUCUCUUGUCUCUUCACCUCUUAUCUCUCUCUCUCUAGCUAGUCUCCACAAGCUCUAUGCCUCAAGUCGAUCAUGAAGCCUUCGCCGAUGACCCGAAAACUCGACCUUACAACUCCGCCGCGAGUCCGGCUGAUUUUCCGCCGGAAUCUUAUUUCUUGUCCAAAGAUGCUCAGCUCGAGUGGCUCACCGACAACGCCUUCUUCGACCGUAGAGAAUCGCAUAGAGGAAACUCAGUGAAUAAUAUCAACUCGAACCCUAGCUCUCAACGGUACUCCAAAGCGUCCAUCAUCGGUUUGCCGAAGCCGCAGAACACGUGCUUAAACGAGGCCAAGCAGCGGAGAAACGUCGGCAAAACCGAUAAAAACAAGAACCGUACGGGGUUCUUGAAACGGGUCGGGUCACGAACGAAGACGGAUCUUUCGCUUCUUCGCGAGCCUUCUUCUCCUAAUGUCUCGUGCAUGGGUAGAGUGAGAUCCAAAAGAGAACGUAGCCGCCGUAUGCAACGUCAAAAAUCGGUUCGACCGGAGAAGCCAAACCGGGUCAAGAAACCCGGGUUUAUGGCGAGUUUCAGAGCUAUCUUUCGUAUAGGAGGCGGCUGCAAACACGCGCCAUCCCGUGGGACGCACACACCGCCGAGUAGGGCACGUGGUGACAUCAGGAGCCGGCUUCCACCGGAAAAUGUUGAACCGGGAGCUUCCGGUUUGGGUGGGAUGACCCGGUUCGCUUCCGGAAGAAGAGGGGAUUUGUUAGGUGGGGUUGUUGACGUGUCGUGACAAGUGUAAUGUUAGUGAUUGGUUGGUUUUGGUGGGACCUGUUUUAACUGUUGUUGUGUUUGAAAUAUCGUUGGCGCUGACGCGGCAAAGUGGUGUAACGUUCUUCAGGAACACACGGCAACGCGAUGGCGGUGAUUCUUAUCCACCAACCACACCUUGUACUGUUUAUGUAGAUUUUUUCACAUUAUAAUCAUUGAUAUUUCUUCUUUUUUAUUAUUGUAAAUUGUUAUAGAAAUACAUUUGUAUUUAUUAAUCAGUCAAAGCAUACUUCUACCACCACUAGACUAAUGGUAAUUUCAGUUAUAUUAUUAGAACAAAGGAAGUCAAAUUAGCAAUCAAGCAGUUCAUGGAAAAUAUUCGAACAUCUUGUGAAGUUUUUGACUCUUUCACAAAGAUUAAAUUGAAAAGAAAAUCUUCAACUUAAUCUUUGUGAAAGAGUCAAAAACUUAACAAGAUGUUGAAUAUUUUCACAAGUUGUAGAAAGAUUAAUUAAGUUGUAGAUGUUCUUUUCUCUCUUUUUUAAAAAAAAAAACAAUUUUCUUUUCUCGUUCCAAUCAUUGAUGUACAUUAUUUUCUUUGAGAAAUAAUUCAAAUAUUCACUAGACUAUAUUUGCGAAGUGAUUUUGUCCAUAUUAUCUCUACAAUCAAUUUCACAAAACAAAUAUGACAUCCGCUAGACUAUAUUUGCGAAGUGAUUUUGCCACAUGUUAUAUCUACAAUCAAUUUCACAAAACAAAUAUGACAUACCUAAUGAAAUUGAUGACAUGACUUCCGGAAAAAAUAUGACAUGGAUAAUUUCAUUUAAUGUUGAUUUAUAUUUUUGGAAAACUUAUUUGAAUCCCUUAUAUACUAAAGCGCAAGUCGCAUCUCCAAUCAAAAUCUAACACGUGGAAAAUCCUUUAAAAAAUUAAAAAAAUAAUUGACAUGUGGAAAAACUAAAAAAACUAAAAAUAAAUAAUUAAAAUUUUCUCUGCAGUUCCUAUUUUCUUAGUCUAAAUAUUAACUACCUAUUUCUUAUUUUUCUCAAAAAAUUUAAGCUACGUUGGUUUUUAUAUAUUUUCCGUAUUUUCUUCAGCAUCUUUUGUAUCAUAAAAACAUAAAGCACUUGACCAAUAAUUCAAGUUUAUUUUUCAAAAAAAAAAAAUUACUGAAAACAAAACAGUUGAAACAAAACAGUUUAUUUUUAUUUUUACUCUACAUAUAACGAAAAGAAAAAAAAAACUGUGUCAACUGCGCAAGUCGCAUCUCCAAUCAAAAUCUAACACGUGGAAAAUCCUUUAAAAAUUAAAAAAAUAAUUGACAUGUGGAAAAACUAAAAAAAAUAAAAAUAAAUAAUUAAAAUUUUCUCUGCAGUUCCUAUUUUCUUAGUCUAAAUAUUAACUACCUAUUUCUUAUUUUUCUCAAAAAAUUUAAGCUACGUUGGUUUUUAUAUAUUUUCCGUAUUUUCUUCAGCAUCUUUUGUAUCAUAAAAACAUAAAGCACUUGACCAAUAAUUCAAGUUUAUUUUUCAAAAAAAAAAAAUUACUGAAAACAAAACAGUUGAAACAAAACAGUUUAUUUUUAUUUUUACUCUACAUAUAACGAAAAGAAAAAAAAAACUGUGUCAACUGCGCAAGUCGCAUCUCCAAUCAAAAUCUAACACGUGGAAAAUCCUUUAAAAAUUAAAAAAAUAAUUGACAUGUGGAAAAACUAAAAAAACUAAAAAUAAAUAAUUAAAAUUUUCUCUGCAGUUCCUAUUUUCUUAGUCUAAAUAUUAACUACCUAUUUCUUAUUUUUCUCAAAAAAUUUAAGCUACGUUGGUUUUUAUAUAUUUUCCGUAUUUUCUUCAGCAUCUUUUGUAUCAUAAAAACAUAAACCACUUGACCAAUAAUUCAAGUUUAUUUUUCAAAAAAAAAAAAUUACUGAAAACAAAACAGUUUAUUUUUAUUUUUACUCUACAUAUAACGAAAAGAAAAAAAAAACUGUGUCAACUGCCUCUCAACCAUUACAGCCACGAUACCCACCUCUUACAUUACAUCAACUUUAAAUGCACACUAGAAUCACUUGGACAAAAAAAAUACUUAUAAAAUCAUUCCAAACAGUUCCAUUUUUUCCACAAAGUAACCGAUGCUUUCAUCUUUCGUAUAGUUUGAUUUUCUUCUCUUGAAAAUGUUGUUGGAGUGUAUAAAAUGAUUUUAGAGAAGAUGAAGUGAAGGUUAUACAUGGCUUUUUGGAAAUUUGUGGUUAGUGAUGUAGACGACUUCAGAUGAUAGUUGUUUAGCAAAAGAGUAAGUGAUAAAGUUUUAGCUUCUAAGUCUCAGCAUUUAAUUAUCUUCCGUUAUGAAGUUUGGUUUUAUUUUUUUAAGUUUUUUUGGAGAGAAAUCAUUGUUACUACGUCUUCAAGUGAUAAGGUGAAAUAAAUUUUAGAAGAUAAUUAAACAAGAGAAUGUUAAUCAUAUUCUAAUUCCGUACGUAGUACGGGUAGACAACUAGUAUGGUAAUAAUUCAUAUAUUACAUUUAAUAUUGAUAUUUGUUUGUGGUAAACUUCUUUAAAAUAUGGUAAUAGCUCAUACAUCAUCUAUAAAAUAAAUAUAUUCAUAUAACAUUUCAAAUUUUGAAAUAUUUUUUUUUAUAAUUAUACAAUUUGUAUUACUAAAGCUUUCAAAAAUUUCUACAAUUUUUUUAAAAUUUAAAUAUAUAAUCGUAACAUCAUUAGUUUUUUUAUAUACCUAUAAAUUUUAUAAAUAUUGUUCAGGCUAAAUUUUUGAUAAUUAUACAAUUUUAUCAUUUUUAUUGGUUUUAUACAAAUUGAUUUAAUAUAUAUCAAACCUGUAUUAAAUAUUAGUAAGAAAAUAGUAAAUCUAUAAUAUUUAAUAAAAUUUAUUUUUAAAUAUAAAUUAGAUUAUAAAAAAAAUUACUGCACAUGGUGCAGGAAAACACCUAGUUUAGUUGAUUAACUAUUGUGAUUGACCACUAGACUAAUAUUUUCCCUAUGUUUGAAUGGUUUAUUUUUUAUUUUCAAAUAAUGAUAUUAAUACCAUUUUCCUUUCUCAUACAUAUUAAAUAUAAAUGUAAUUAUUUUAUUCAAAUAUUUUUCUGUAACUCAUUUUGUAAAACUAAAUUAGAUUAGUUAAAGUAUAAAAUCUGAAUCUUUUAAAUACAAGAAAAAAAUCUAGAACCAGUAAUUUUGAGGAAUGUUCUUUGUUUGUGAUGCCAAAGCGACAAAGUCUUUGUAAGGUAAAUUUCCACCAAAAGUGUCCAAGGCAUUUCCAACUGUUACAUCAUCCAUCACUGUCACGCCUCCCCCAUAAGUUUACUGGAAUCUGUCAGGGUCAUCUAUUUCGAUGUCUCCAUUUUGAAGCAUAACAAAUACAUUCAAAUUGAAUUCUGGUUUUACAAACAUCAAAAGCAUCAUCAAUUUGCCCAAGCGAGUAGAGCACAGUUGAUUUUUGAAAACGGGUGUGUUGCUCACCGGUGAGUAGUUGACAUGUUUCAUCUUCAAGUAGAGCACUGUUUUGUUUUGUAGUAGUAUUGUCUCUGUACAUUUUUCCCAUUUCAGUCAUUUAAGUAUAUUCUUUUUCUUGUUUUCGUUGUAAAUUGUUAACGAAGUCCGGUUUAGCUUACCAAAUGAGACUUAUGUUUCUUCUCGUCACUUGUAUCUAUAUAAGCUUAGACCCAAGCAAUCUAUUAAAACACAUCUGAUGUUGACGAAUAUGAGAUAUGAAUUGACACCAAGUUAGGUUAUUUUUUAUUAUAACAUUUUUUAAAAAUAUUUUCUUUCAAUAUUUAGAUUGAUGCAAGCAGGUUUGUUUAUAUGCUUCACAAAAAAAAAGAGCCACAGAGAGAUAAAACAAGACAAUGAAAGUUGUUUCUACUUCUCAUUCCAUAUAAUUGAAGUACAUAGGGAAUGGAGUUAAGCACAAACCACAUAUUCAUAAGUAAAAAUCGACGUAAAGAUCCAUAAUGAGCUGAAAAGGUUGAUCACGUGUAAAAAACAACAGAUGUAAACUACAGCAUUGCAUUAAACCAAAAACAUCCACCAUGAAUAUUUAAAAUAAAAGCAAUCCGACACUAAAGAAGCUGGUCAAGACUCAGGACUGCAAAUAGCUCUCACCCCCAGCAAAAUCCACAUUCACCAAACCAUGAAUCUGCAAAGCGAAAGACAAAGAUAAGCUGUUAAAGCAUUUUGCUAUGACAUUAGCUUAGAUUAAAAAGACCAUAUCUGAACCAUAAAGAGCCUCUCCUUUGCUCUCCCUAGCAGCAUUCAUACACAAAUCUCGAGAUUUCCUCCAUACUCGGUAGAAACCCACAAAACAUGAGUUAUGUUGUGGCUUUUGAGGAGUGGUACUCAAAAUAUUAACUCAUAUUUUGAAGGCUUUUACCGAGUACGUAAUCAAUCAUUUUGUAUGGAAGAGAAGAAAGGAAACCUUUGGAAAAGAGAGAGAGAAGCUAAGUUAAAACGAGAUCAUAGAAUGGACAAACCAAGAGGAAAGAUUUGUGAUGGCUCUCUCACUGUUGAUUGGGACAUUUAUUCUGUUGUUGUCAAAGAGAUGAGAUGAUGUGUGGUAGAGAAAGAAAGAAACACGAUACGAGGAGAGUGUGUGUUACAUUGGUAAUAUUCAAACUCAUCACAAGGUCCCACCUUAAGUGUGUUAAGUGAUAUACAACCAUCACUGAUAAUACGGAUUUGCAGCUCAUCAUUAAAAGACUUUUUUUUGUCUAAUUUUAAAAGUCAUAGAGACAUCACAUAACCAAUCAUCAUAACAUCACAUCUCUAAAACAAAAAACCUAUUCAAGUCACAGCACAGCAGCUAGGGGUUCUACACACCCACCCACACAAAUCUUGAUCAUACAUCAAAACAUCUUGCUGUAAUCCCAAAGAGACAAUGUCAGGAUAGUGACAAGGUCUCAGGCUUAUUAUUAGACUCUGGGAUAGCGAGAGCUACCUUUCUUCUUCAAGAACUCUGGGAUCUCCACUGAACCACCUUCUCUGAAAGAGGAAGAAGAAGGUCUUCUUGUAGCUCCAGUUGAGGCGGUAUCUGCUUGUGCCAUCUGAGCCGCCCUUCCUUCUCCUUCCUCUUGCCGCUUGAAACCCGUUGCUAUGAGAGUUAUGCUCACCUUAUA